UACGUAGGGUCCGAGCGUUGUCCGGAAUUACUGGGCGUAAAGUGUGCGCAGGCGGCGUUGCAAGUCGAGUGUGAAAGCCCCGGGCUUAACUUGGGAAUUGCGCUCGAAACUACGAUGCUGGAGUGUGGCAGAGGAAGGUGAAAUUCCACGUGUAGCGGUGAAAUGCGUAGAGAUGUGGAGGAACGCCGAUGGCGAAGGCAGCCCCCUGGGCUAACACUGACGCUCAUGCACGAAAGCGUGGGGAGCAAACAGG
This 253-nucleotide ribosomal RNA is filed under the name uncultured bacterium. RNAcentral's name for it is "partial 16S ribosomal RNA". It matches the Rfam family "Bacterial small subunit ribosomal RNA", at positions 524 to 776 of the family's 1533-position model. The record is from RNAcentral.